This 456-nucleotide long non-coding RNA is filed under the name Mytilus galloprovincialis (Mediterranean mussel). Lineage: Eukaryota; Metazoa; Mollusca; Bivalvia; Mytilida; Mytilidae. The record is from RNAcentral.
GCCGAUUUGGUUUUGAGGAAUGUCACUUUUUCUGACUAGACCAGUACAUGUAGUAGUAAACAUAUGCUUUAUAGAAUUAGACCGUUGGUUUUCCCGUUUGAAUGGUUUAACACUAGUAAUUGUGGGGCCCUUUAUAGCUAGUUGUUCCGUGUGAGCCAAGGCUGCGUGUUGAAGGCCGUACACUGACCUAUAAUGGUUUACUUUUUUUAAAUUGUUAUUUGGAUGGAGAGUUGUCUCAUUGGCACUCACACCACAUCUCCUAUAUCUAUUUAGCAUCCAUUUUUCUACUUUUUUUUAUAUAUAGCCUGAACUGUUGUUGUUUUUCAAGUCAAUUAAUAUUUUUUACAUGUCAACGGCAUGCGAAUUUUCAUAAUUUCAAUAUAUUGUUUUUUUUAUGCAAUACUUGAUGUCUAAAUUAAAUGUAUUAGUAUCUGUGGUUCAAACUGACUUUUUUUU